UCAUAGCCCAGAUAGUAACGGCAUCCUUUUUUGUUGCGGGCGGAGCGAAGCGGAGGCCGUAACAAAAAAGAUACAGUGGAUAGCUGGAUAAAGC
Non-coding RNA from Chryseobacterium sp. IHB B 17019, 94 nucleotides. NCBI's taxonomy places the organism in Bacteria, Pseudomonadati, Bacteroidota, Flavobacteriia, Flavobacteriales, Weeksellaceae. The record is from Rfam.